Hevea brasiliensis (rubber tree) is the source of this 1153-nucleotide long non-coding RNA. RefSeq lists it as uncharacterized. The record is from RefSeq and is a predicted model, not a curated record. The transcript has 2 exons. NCBI's taxonomy places the organism in Eukaryota, Viridiplantae, Streptophyta, Magnoliopsida, Malpighiales, Euphorbiaceae.
CAGCAUAUUGGGGGUACUUUGCCAACACAUAUUGCUCAACAUAUUGCAUUUCUGUUGGAGUUAUGGGACCUGACCAUCUAAGGUCAAGACCGCGGAUUGUUGAUAUGGCUUCUGCUACAAUAUGUGCAGGAAUUACGACAUGAAUAUCUGUUGCUGAAGCAAUCUAAGCAUAUUCAAGGGGAGCUGCUGCUACUGCAAUAUUGAAGGAUUUCUUCCUGACGAGAAGGCAAGUGAUGUUGGAAGGUUGGCACUGGACGUGUGCAUUGUCAAGACUGCACAACACAAAAUCAGCCCAAAAAUCAGCCCAGAAAUACCCAAGAUUCAACUGGUCCUUCCCCACCAAAAUACCAGUUGCAUCUAGCAGAACAUGCCAUGAGCACUUCCGGGCUUCUAAAAUGCAGUGUAACGAGUUUCUUGCACCAUUAACCUCAAUUGGAUAAGAGUACAGCCCCUUUGGACUGCGGUUGCACUUCCUUCUGAGAUACCGGCUAAGCUGUGAUCCUUUGAUCCUCAAAUCCAACCAAGUCUCUGGUGCCAAGAUCACUUUUGAUUCCUUGUGACUCUCCAAAUUCCCGUAUGUAAUCAAUUUCUUCUGCAAUAAUGGUCAUGUAGAAGUUUCCUCUGAAGAAGGGAUAGCUCUCACCAACUAAUAUCAUUGCAGACUUGUAGUUCUGUGUGAAGAUAACAAUAUACUCUUCAUCAGGUAACCCACAGUGCUUCAAAAUUUUGUUUUGAGCUUGGAUUUCAGGCAUUGAGAUGAAACUCCCUGGAAAUGAGGUUUUCUUGGCAAGGAUAUCAGGCAACCUUGAUGGCUCUAACUGGGUUUUAUCCAAAUCAGGAAUAUUGCUUCCAAAGAAGAGUGUAGAGACCUCUCUAGAACCAUCCCUAGCCAACUUUGGCAUGUCAGCUGAUGCAUCCCCUGAGCUAUUUUCUUGAAUACAAAAAGGAGAAAUCUAUCUUUCCUCCAACUACAGUACUAAGGUAUUGAGGGUACAUUUUUUAGAUAUACUGUUCAACUUAUUCCAUUUCUCUUGGUGUGAUCGGACCUGACCAUCUGAGGUCAAGAACAUGGAGUUUUGAUACGACUUCUGCUACAAUAUGUGCAGAAAUUAUGGCAUGUGCUUUCUGCACAGUCCCAAAUUUAGUCAAACAA